UACGAAGGGGGCUAGCGUUGUUCGGAAUUACUGGGCGUAAAGCGCACGCAGGCGGCUUGCUAAGUCGGGGGUGAAAUCCCGGGGCUCAACCUCGGAAUUGCCUUCGAUACUGUUUAUCUUGAGUCCGGGAGAGGUGAGUGGAAUUCCUAGUGUAGAGGUGAAAUUCGUAGAUAUUCGCAAGAACACCAGUGGCGAAGGCGGCUCACUGGCCCGGUACUGACGCUGAGGUGCGAAAGCGUGGGGAGCAAACAGG
Molecule: ribosomal RNA, 253 nt
Filed under: uncultured bacterium
Lineage: Bacteria
Description: partial 16S ribosomal RNA
Rfam family: Bacterial small subunit ribosomal RNA
Source: RNAcentral